CCUACGGGAGGCAGCAGUAAGGAAUAUUGGUCAAUGGACGCAAGUCUGAACCAGCCAUGCCGCGUGAAGGAUGACGGCCCUCUGGGUUGUAAACUUCUUUUAUCUGGGACGAAAAAAGGGCUUUCUAGCUCACUUGACGGUACCAGAGGAAUAAGCACCGGCUAACUCCGUGCCAGCAGCCGCGGUAAUACGGAGGGUGCAAGCGUUAUCCGGAUUCACUGGGUUUAAAGGGUGCGUAGGUGGGUCUGUAAGUCAGUGGUGAAAUCUCCGAGCUUAACUCGGAAACUGCCAUUGAUACUAUAGGUCUUGAAUUAUCUGGAGGUAAGCGGAAUAUGUCAUGUAGCGGUGAAAUGCUUAGAUAUGACAUAGAACACCAAUUGCGAAGGCAGCUUACUACGGAUUGAUUGACACUGAGGCACGAAAGCGUGGGGAUCAAACAGGAUUAGAUACCCUGGUAGUCCACGCCCUAAACGAUGGAUACUCGACAUCAGCGAUACACUGUUGGUGUNUGAGNGAAGACGAGUUAAGUAGUCCGACCGUAACGGUAAGGUACGUUACCGACGUAAGGUUAGGUUAAACGUAACGAAGGAAGUUAGACGGCGUUGAGACGUUACGCCGACGGACGACGACGAGGGAGGAGG
This 641-nucleotide ribosomal RNA is filed under the name uncultured bacterium. RNAcentral describes it as "bacterial SSU rRNA". The stretch from base 1 to 538 matches the Rfam family "Bacterial small subunit ribosomal RNA", at positions 338 to 873 of the family's 1533-position model. The record is from RNAcentral.